GAGGUUGAGAUUUGAUGGAUGAGAAGGAGCGAGCUAGGACAAGAGAAGAAGAGAGACAGUGUUCUCAGUGGAGGGACCUUCUUGUGCAGAGGGCGUGAGCUGGAACCAGACCAGCAGUUCCAAGGAACGGAGAAGCUGCCGUGCAGGGCUGGAGUGUGAUGAGCAAGGCAGGAACAGCACAUCAUCCGGUGAGAGAAGCAGACAGCGGCCAGGCCACACAGAGCCCUGCAGGGCACGCUGGCAGAGUUGCUUGAAAUGAAGCCGUUCCCUGAAAAGCACACAUGAAUUUCCCCUGCGGAAAAUUCAAACAGACACACUUGAGGAUUUCCACUAAAUUCUCUCUGGCCCCCAGAGCACUGGGGAAGCAUGUGAGACCUGUGCCAUCCCGGAACUGUGGCGACAAUGGUAGUUAACGUCCAUCAUCUGCAGGCACCUUCAGGAUGUGGAGCAUGCAGAGAUGACUCACGCCCACACCGGUGACCUCCAACACACCAGGGAAGGCAGGAAAAGGCUGUGUGCCAGGAUCUUGUUCUGGGCUAGAAAAGUAUGCCUGUUCGUUACCCGACCUUUGCUAAGUACACCAACUAAUGGAGCGAGAGACAUGAAAGAUCUUCACAGGCCAUGUGGAAAUGUAAUUCAAACCCAGCCCGAGGAGGUCAUAGUACGCCUGAUGCAGACAAACGAGGUAAACUUGGAAGCCAUAAGGUUGAAGACGGCGGAGCUAAAACAAGAAAGGAGGCUGGAUCCCUGAGUCACCUUGUGGAAGGCUGCCUGCCUACCAGGAAUGCUACAUUUAACAUGGGGUAUGACUUAUGUGGGUCCUCUCCUUGGGUCUCACAAGGCUGACAUGUGAGUGAGAAACAGAUUUUUAUUGUGUUAAGACAUUGAAGGUAUGGGAUAUGUUUCUUACAUCAGUUGAUAUCGCCUUAACCAAUAUACCAGUUUGCACUGUGAAUGAGAAAAUGAGUCUGCAUCCACAAUGUCCAUGCUUUAAGAGCUUCUAGGAGUUUUAGGAGUUUAUUUGCCAUGCUCUAUAAAGUCUGCACAAUGUUUUAAUUCCACUUCACAGAAAGGUUUUCUUUCCAAACCCUCUUCAGGGGCCUUCCCUAUUAAAAAAGCCCAUUUAUAGAAACUACUACUUAGCAUUUUUGGAACUUGUUAUCCUAUUCAGCAGAGUCUAAGUCAGGAGGCUUUGAACUCGGACAAUUACUGCUCUUGAUUAACAACAAGAACUGAUGAGUUGGCCUUUCUAGUGUGCUAAGCAAACUCAGCCAAGCAGAAAAUAUCACUGAAGGGGAAACAACGGGAAGUGAUUUUCUUGGUUGCAUUAUGCGCCGUCGCGAUAUUUACACAUGUUUGUGGAUAAUGUGGGAACCUCUGCUGCUUGCAUGCCCUUCCAGAUGACACCACUGGGCUUGAAACGCCAUGUUUCCCACCUGACCUGGGCUGUAAAUGUCAUCCUGUGACUGCAGGCAGCCAGCCCCAGGGAAAAACCACAGCACUGGGAGUGGUCAGGCCCCUUGCAGGAUCCCCACUCCAACCCUUUCAAGUUCUAGCCCCUCCAGGUACCCUGGGGCCAGCACCUAGGCCUAGAGAUUUGUUUGUUUGUUUGUUUUUUAGAGAUAGGGUCUUGCUAUGUUGCCCUGGCUGAUCUGAAACUCUGGGCCUCAAGCAGUCCACUCACCUUAGCCUCCUGAGUAGCUGGGAUCACAGGCAUGAACCACCCAACCCAGCUGGGGUUAGAGAGUAACAGCAGCCUUGGCCUCAUAUUGUAAGACAGCUCAGUGGCCGGAUAGAUGGGUGUUCAUUUCUUCUCGCCCUCGCCAGCACUAGGUGUUUUUAAAAAAUGAUUUUUGUGAAGUCAAAUAGUGUUUUCAGUGUCGGAUUGAACAUUGUGCUCAUUUAUGAGUGUUCUGUGGAUACCUUUACCCAUGUCUCUAUUGAGGGUGGUAGGAUUUUUCAUAAAAUUGCAUGCACAUUUUUCAUGUAUUAAAGGCAUUAUGCCUUUUCACAUUCUUUAGAUUUUUCCAACUUCUUUAUCUUUGUAUUUUGUUAAAUGUUUUUGGAUACAUAAAACUAAAAAAAGAAAAUCAUAAGAUUAAAUAUUUCAAUCUUGUCCUUUGAGACUUUUCCAUCUUUUUAAGCUUAUAAAGUCAUAUUUCAUAUGGAAGUUUGAAAUAUAUUCAUCUAUAACCCCAUUCAUUCUAUUUAAAACUUUUUAAAGAAACUCUUGGCUCCACUAGGAAUUUUUUUGGAUGGAAGGUAUGAGGUAAGGAUCUUCCUGGGGGCCACAUUUGGGAGUUCAGAUCUGAGGGGCAGAAGCCUCUGGCUUUGGACAAACAGGGGCAGGUGUCACUGGGGUUAGGGGUGGCAUAGCACGGGCAGAGGUAGUGUUGAUGGGUGAAGAGCAGGUCCCAGCUGGGACUGCUCUCAGGAUCUGGGGGUCUCCUUCUUCUCAAAUGGUGUCAUGGACUAAAUUGUGUCACCCCCACAUUUAUAUGUUGAAGUCCUAACCCUCAGUACCUUAGAAUGUGACUGUAUUUGGAGACUGGGUCUUUGAGAGGUAAUGAAGUUAAAAUGAGGUCUUUAGGGUGGGCCCUAAUCCAGGGUGACUGAUGCCUGUGUAAGAAGAGAUUAGGACACAGACGCAUCCAGAGGGAAGGAGGUGUGAAGACACAGAGAGAAGGCUGAGAAGUAACCAACCCUGCCUGACACCUUCAUCUUGGACUUCCAGCCCCAGAAUUUCGAGAAAAUAAAU
This 2758-nucleotide long non-coding RNA is filed under the name Homo sapiens (human). Its description in RNAcentral is "novel transcript". Lineage: Eukaryota; Metazoa; Chordata; Mammalia; Primates; Hominidae. The record is from RNAcentral.